Molecule: long non-coding RNA, 5583 nt
Filed under: Gossypium barbadense (sea-island cotton)
Lineage: Eukaryota; Viridiplantae; Streptophyta; Magnoliopsida; Malvales; Malvaceae
Description: long non-coding RNA (GBAR_LNC001945)
Source: RNAcentral
UCGGUUCCUCAUUCUCUAGGUAAUUUCUCUCGCUAUUCUGUAGUGCCUCCUCUGUGGUAUUCUGGGUUUUUGUGUUCUUUGUUUUCUGUAUGUGCUUGAACUCGAUCUUCUGGAAAUAUGGUUUCUUGCACUGGAUAUCCCUGAUAAUUGUUCCAAUAAUUGAGUAGUCGGUUGCAGUUGAAUGAUAUUUCUUGAUUACUGUUAGUGAAUCGCCCAUUAUUUGUAUUUCCUGUAAACCUAUUUCGAUAUCUAACUUGACUGCUUCUAACCAUGCAAAUGCUUCCGCGGCAAACGGAGAAGCAACAUUGCGAUGAAUAAUAGAUUUCAAAGCCAAAACCUCGUUCAUCAGACCCCUAACCACCAACCUCGACACUGGUAUGAACUUUCUAUUGUUGAACGUAGCAUCAAACUGGAUCUUCACGAUCAGUAAGUCUUCCACAUUUCUUUGAUUUUGCACCGUAUGUGAUAAAGUUUUCUUAACUUUAAUCCCUUUGUAUUCUGCCAUGUGGUUCUGAAUUUUCCGUGCGAGGUCUCUACCCGUUGUGUGUACCCGUUCAUGCAGAAGUUGAUUCCUUGAAUGCCAAAGUAUCCAUAAGCCAUAAUAAAAAUAUCUGCAUUGUUCGUUUGUUCCUUGUUUGAAAACCACAGUGAGCCACUCCCAGAAAUUUUGAUGCACGAAAGUUGUAACCCAAGAAAGGUUUAAUAGCUGCCAGACCUCUAUGCUUGUGGAACAUUGUCGGAAAAUAUGAUGACAGUCUUCAUCUUCAUAACCGUACCUAGGGCAUCUGACAUUUGUCACUAAUCUUCUAUGUCGGAGAUUUCUCAAAGUAGGAAUGUAAUUCCAUGACAUGCACCAGAUUAUGAUUGUGAUCUUAGACGGUAGUUGUAGUUUCCAUAGUUUUCUGAAAAAUUCCUUGGUUUCGGUCUGUAACAAAUAAUGACUAGGAUUCAGAUUAGCAAUUUGUAAUAGUUUAUAGGCGCUACGAACUGAGUAUUCCCCUGUUGGUUCGCCCCUCCAGACUUGGAAGUCCUCGUGCACUGAUUCCGAUAGUGGGAUCUAUAGGAUUGUGCGAGCAACCUUCGGGUGAAAGGUAUUGUUGAUCAGCUCUUCCUUCCAUUUCCUAGUCGUACUAUCAAUAAGAUCCAAAACAAAUUCUAGUUGCAUACUAUCUGACCUGUUGUGCCUUUCCAAUAUUCCAUUCCUUGGACCCAUCGAUCAUUCUAGAUGGAUACUUUGUCCCCUUUACCGAUUCGCCAGCUUAGGCCUUGUUGAAGGAGCCUCUUAGCUGCCCAAAUGCUCUUCCAGGUAAGUGAAGGUAAAGUUCUUAACUGAGCCUCUAAGCCCAAAUGCUCUUCCAGGUAAGUGAAGGUAAAGUUCUUAACUGAGCCUCUAAGAAAGUCGAAUGCGGAUAAUAUUUUGCUUUUAAAACCCUGACUAGUAAUGAAUUAGGAUAAUAAAUCAAACAUCAUCCUUGUUUAGCAAGUAACGCAACAUUAAAUUGACUCAAAUUUCGAAAGCCUAGGCCGCCAUUCUCUUUUAAAAAGCAAAGAUGUUUCCAAGUACACCAACGAAUUCCCCUUUUCCCAUGUCCCUUCUGCCACCAAUACUUCGCUAUAAUAUUUUUAAGAUCAUCACAAAGGGAAUUAGGUAAUAGAAAACAUGCCAUCGUGUAAGUCGGAACUGCUUGAAGAAUUGCGUUAAUAAAGAUUUCUUUACCUCUUUGUGAUAAACUUGGUACUCCAAUUAUCAAUAUGUUUUUUAAGGCUAUCCUUCAAAUUUUGAAAAGCUUCCUUCUUUCUCUUUCCUACCAUAUUCGGCAAUCCCAGAUAGCGUUCUGGCUCAUUUGAACUUCAAACACCCAGUAAAUUGACAACCGUUUGCUUUUCUUCUUCUGAAGUGUUUUUGCUGAAAACUACCGUUGAUUUAUCGAAAUUCACACACUACCCCGAACAAAGUCUGUAUUCAUCCAAUAUAUUUUUGAAUAGAUGCGCCCCACUUCUUGUGGCUUCCCUAAAUAAGAUAUAGUCAUCGGCAAAUAAAAUGUGUGAAAUCGGUGGACCAUUCCUGCUAACUUUCACUCCUCUUAAAAGUCCUUCCCGUUCUGCAAGCCGCAAUAGUCUGGAUAAUCUCUCACCACAUAAAAGAAAUAAAAAUGGGCUUAAUGGAUCACAUUGACGAAGUCCUCUGGUCGGUUGAAAUUUCUCUUCUCGAUGUUCGUUCAUGGCCACUGAAUAAGAAACAGUGGUAAUACAUUGCAUAAUAGCCUUUACCCAUCUAUUUGCAAAACCCAUUUGAAUCAUUAUAUGCUUUAUAAAUUCUCAUUCGACCCUAUCAUAAGCUUUGCUCAUAUCGAGUUUAACUGUCAUGAACCUUUUCUUCCCUAUUCUUUUCCCCUUCAACGUAUUCAGGAUUUCAUAGGCUAACAGCACGUUGUCAGAUAUUAGUCUUUCUAGCACAAAAGCACUUUGUGCAACUUCUAUACAUUUUCCGAUCACUCUUCGAAAUUGGUUCGCAAGAGUCUUUGCCAAGAUUUUAUAAAGAACAUUACAAAGACUAAUCGGACGAAAGUGUAUCAUAUUAGAAGGACUAGAAUUCUUCGGGAUUAGUACAAUAUUUGUAAAGUUAAGUGAUCUAACCUUCAUAUCACCAUUUAAAAGAUGUAAGCAAAAAUCAGUAACUUUAUCACCAAUAAUGUGCCAGCAUUUUUGAUAAAACAGUCCUAGAAAUCCAUCUUCUCCCGGCGCCUUCGUAGAACCCAUGUCGAACACUGCCAUUUGAAUUUCUUCUUUUGAAUAAUUUGCUGUUAAUUGUUUAUUAUCCUCCUUAUGUAUGCAUCAUCCAAUGCCUGAUAACAAAUGUUCGUAAGGACCUCUUUGUUCUGUCGAAAAUAGUUGUUAAAAAUAAGAGCGAGCGAUUCUCUCCAUUUCCUGUAAGGUCUCUGUUUCCCUGCCAUCCUCAGUUUGUAACUUACGAAUACAAUUUUCUUCUUACGUUGUGUUGUUUGGCUGUGAAAGAAUGCUGAAUUUUUAUCCCCAAAUUUCAACCAAUUCAUUAUGGCCCUCUGUUCCCAAUACCGUUCAUCCUUCUCUAUUUCAAAAUUUAAUUGUAUUUUUGUAUCAAUCAACUCAGCUAAAUUGUUGUCAUCUCUACCAGCAUCAUAUAGAUCUGAUAACUUAGCCGUAAGAGCCUUCGUCUUCUUCUGUCGGUUCCUUUGAAUCUGUCCAGACCAUUUGACCAAGCCCUUCUUCAGAUUUUCUAGCUUUUGCACCAAGUCUCCUGAAGACAUCUCCCAGAUUUUAUUAACCUCACUAAGAAAAGAUUCCUCUAACACCCAUCAGGCUUCAAAUUUGAAAAUUCUGUUCCUCAAUCUUCCCCUUACGUUGCUUGUAUCAGCUAAAAGUGGAUAAUGGUCUGAAAAAGAAUGUACUAAAUUUUGCACUUUCACCUCCGGAAACAUGGAUAUCCAUCUCGCAUUGGCCACUCCUCUAUCCAACCGUUCUCGAAUAUUUGUCUUUGGAAGGUUGCCUCUUUCCCACAUGAACCAUCUACCAGAAUAUCCUACAUCAGACAGUUGACAAUCCUCCAGAGUUUUUCGAAAUAGACCCAUUCUCCUUUCAUCCCUAGGUAUCCCUCACUUUUUUUUCAGAUCCAAACAUUAUUUCAUUAAAAUCCCCACAAAUAAACCAAGGGAUAUCAUUAGCAACUUUUAAACUUCUCAAAACAUCCUACAAAUCAUUCCUGUCUUGUGCGUACGGGGACCCAUAAAAACCUAUAAAUCUCUAUUUGACUCCUAAUUCGCUAUCUUCAAUAUCCACAUCAAUGUGUCUUUUUGAAUAAGAGCGAAAAAUGACUGAAACACCCAAUCUCCAUGCCAAACAUAAACCUUUUCUACUGCCCUCUGAAUCAACCUCAACACCAUUUCCAAAACCAUAUUUUCGGCGCACCCCUUCUAUCUGUGUCUUACCAAGCUUUGUCUCCGUAAAGAAGAUAAUUUCGGGAUUAUACGUCUUCAGCAGAUGCUGAAGUCUACAAAUUAUCCGCGACCUCCCCAAACGACGACAUUCUAACUUAAGAUUUUCAUUGCGCCUGGUCGGCUUGCCUCUUGGCAGCUGCCGAUGAUAAUUGGUUAGAUUUCAUCAAUCUCCUGCUCCUUACCAUUAAGUAGUCCAUAUCUUCUCUCUCCGAGAAGUCAUCCCUCGCUCCUCUAUUUCUCUUCUUUCCCUCUUCUCCAAUGAGGAUACCUUCCUCCAAGUCAUGCUCCAUCCUUGUUUGCAUCAAUUCUGACUGUAUAUUUUCAUUUUGAUUAUCAAAAGAUAAGGAUCCCCCUUCUAGAUUAAAACCCAAUACUGGAUCGAUAAUCUUUCCACUCUUUCCAUUGUUAUCCACAUUCCAUAUUCGAUUAUUUGGGACCCAAUUACUUCCUCUAUCCCCUUCACGACUCUCAUCAUCCUCUUCCCGAAGCCAGAUACUGUUCAUCGACAAGGCUCUACGUGAUUAGGCACGCAAAGAUAGAUCUCACCCUAAUUCAGCAAUUUCCACACCAAGCAAUAUCUUAGCUUCACAAAACGAGUCGCUAUGCCCCAAUCGACCACAGUAGAAACAGAAUAGAGAUAAUCGCUCGUACUUAAAUCUGACAUAUGAACAUCUUCCAUUAAACAUAACCUGUUUUUUCCUUUUCAAAGGUCGUUUGAUGUCAAUCUGGGCCAUUGUACGCAUGUAAUUACGAUUCUCCUUCUCUAAAUUUGCACCAUCAUAUCCAAAAAAUUCCCCAAGAAAUUACCCAAUUGUAUGGAUAAUUUUUUAGAAAAUAAACCAAUAGGGACAUCAUGAAUUUGGAUCCAAAAAGGGGUAAAUAUUAAUGGCACCUUUAACGGGUCCUCCCCCCAUUGCAACUUAUAAAUAACCAACAAGUGAUUAUUAAAAGUCCCAGGUGAACCCUUUAUAACCCGUUCCAUAUCCAUUAUGUGAAAAAAUUAGAAUAUAUACCUUUUAUCUCACAGAUCCCAGAUCUGAACUCUACGGACCUGAUGCCACAAAUUUGCCAUCGUGCUUUUCAUGGCUGGGAAGUGGAUUAUACUGGCCAUUAGAAAGCAACCUACUAGUUGGAAUUCACUCAUUUCUCUUCCUGGGAUUGGAUCUAUUGGAAUUUCCAAAAUUUCAUCCUCUUCUUCGUUAAGUGUCAGACCUACUAAUUCAGUUUCCAUUGUUGCAGGUAUCGAACGCCAAACUAAAGAAUCCUUAAAUCAAGCAAGGACUAAAGGCUGAUUAGCAGAGCAAGACUUACAAAAAGACGAAAGAGUGCCAAAAAAAAAGAUAAAAAAACAAGAAAACCUAGAUACUCAUGCCAGUGGCGGCAGACUUGGACUUGCUAGGGUAGCAAACUCUCUUAUUAUUAUCUGCAUCUUAAAAUUAAAGUAAGAAGAGUUUAAUUUCGAGAGUCCAUUACAUGCAAAGAAAGUUAUAGCAUCUUGUAAUACUCGGAAAUUAAUACCUUAUUAAACACAUAUUAUUUUUUAGAUUUUGAAAUUAUAAUUUCAAAUUCAAUAUUUAAUCAUAAGGCUAUAAAUUUUAAAGUGUGCACG